Molecule: ribosomal RNA, 253 nt
Filed under: uncultured bacterium
Lineage: Bacteria
Description: partial 16S ribosomal RNA
Rfam family: Bacterial small subunit ribosomal RNA
Source: RNAcentral
UACGUAGGGGGCAAGCGUUGUCCGGAUUUAUUGGGCGUAAAGAGCGUGUAGGCGGCCACACAGGUCUGCUGUGAAAACUCGAGGCUCAACCUCGAGCUGUCGGUGGAAACCGUGUGGCUAGAGUCCGGAAGAGGAGAGUGGAAUUCCCGGUGUAGCGGUGAAAUGCGUAGAUAUCGGAAGGAACAUCAGUGGCGAAAGCGACUUCCUGGUCCAGCAUCGACGUUCAGGCACGAAAGCGUGGGGAGCAAACAGG